GCCAGCAGCUAUAUCACCCUGCAACUCAUAGUUGGCAGCCCACUGAAGCUGUGCAGGUGUGAGUCUAGUCAGUACCUGGAUGGGAGACCUCCUGGGAAAGCUAAAGUUGCUGCUGGAA
Molecule: ribosomal RNA, 118 nt
Filed under: Lepisosteus oculatus (spotted gar)
Lineage: Eukaryota; Metazoa; Chordata; Actinopteri; Semionotiformes; Lepisosteidae
Source: RNAcentral